RNAcentral lists this ribosomal RNA (497 nucleotides) under uncultured bacterium. RNAcentral's name for it is "partial 16S ribosomal RNA". It matches the Rfam family "Bacterial small subunit ribosomal RNA", at positions 28 to 507 of the family's 1533-position model. The record is from RNAcentral.
GAUGAACGCUGGCGGCGUGCCUAAUACAUGCAAGUCGAGCGAACAGACGAGGAGCUUGCUCCUCUGACGUUAGCGGCGGACGGGUGAGUAACACGUGGAUAACCUACCUAUAAGACUGGGAUAACUUCGGGAAACCGGAGCUAAUACCGGAUAAUAUAUUGAACCGCAUGGUUCAAUAGUGAAAGACGGUUUUGCUGUCACUUAUAGAUGGAUCCGCGCCGCAUUAGCUAGUUGGUAAGGUAACGGCUUACCAAGGCAACGAUGCGUAGCCGACCUGAGAGGGUGAUCGGCCACACUGGAACGGAGACACGGUCCAGACUACUACGGGAGGCAGCAGUAGGGAAUCUUCCGCAAUGGGCGAAAGCUUGACGGAGCAACGCCGCGUGAGUGAUGAAGGUCUUCGGAUCGUAAAACUCUGUUAUUAGGGAAGAACAAAUGUGUAAGUAACUAUGCACGUCUUGACGGUACCUAAUCAGAAAGCCACGGCUAACUACGUG